RNAcentral lists this ribosomal RNA (724 nucleotides) under uncultured soil bacterium. RNAcentral's name for it is "bacterial SSU rRNA". It matches the Rfam family "Bacterial small subunit ribosomal RNA", at positions 30 to 759 of the family's 1533-position model. The record is from RNAcentral.
CGAACGCUGGCGGCGUGCCUAACACAUGCAAGUCGAACGGGACCAGGGGCAACUCUGGUUCAGUGGCGGACGGGUGCGUAACACGUGAGGAACAUGACCUUCGGCGGGGGACAGCCGGCCCAACGGCCGGGUAAUACCGCGUACGACCACUCGGGGACAUCCCUAGGUGGUGAAAGCAGCAAUGCGCCGAUGGAGUGCCUCGCGGCCUAUCAGCUAGUUGGUGAGGUAACGGCUCACCAAGGCGACGACGGGUAGCUGGUCUGAGAGGAUGGCCAGCCACAUUGGGACUGAGACACGGCCCAGACUCCUACGGGAGGCAGCAGUGGGGAAUAUUGCGCAAUGGACGAAAGUCUGACGCAGCGACGCCGCGUGUGGGAUGACGGUCUUCGGAUUGUAAACCACUGUCGGGAGGGACGAAUACGCCGCAAGGCGGGUGACGGUACCUCCAAAGGAAGCACCGGCUAACUCCGUGCCAGCAGCCGCGGUAAUACGGAGGGUGCGAGCGUUGUCCGGAAUCACUGGGCGUAAAGGGCGCGUAGGCGGCCUGAUAAGUAGGGGGUGAAAUCCUGCGGCUUAACCGCAGGGCUGCCUUCUAAACUGUCAGGCUCGAGCACAGUAGAGGCAGGUGGAAUUCCCGGUGUAGCGGUGGAAUGCGUAGAGAUCGGGAAGAACAUCAGUGGCGAAGGCGGCCUGCUGGGCUGUUGCUGACGCUGAGGCGCGACAG